This 492-nucleotide ribosomal RNA is filed under the name uncultured Moraxella sp. RNAcentral's name for it is "bacterial SSU rRNA". It matches the Rfam family "Bacterial small subunit ribosomal RNA", at positions 17 to 507 of the family's 1533-position model. Lineage: Bacteria; Pseudomonadati; Pseudomonadota; Gammaproteobacteria; Moraxellales; Moraxellaceae. The record is from RNAcentral.
UCCUGGCUCAGAUUGAACGCUGGCGGCAGGCUUAACACAUGCAAGUCGAACGAUGAAGUCUAGCUUGCUAGACGGAUUAGUGGCGAACGGGUGAGUAAUGCUUAGGUAAUCUGCCUAUUAGUGGGGGAGUAACGUAGGGAAACUUAACGCUAAUACCGCAUACGACUACGGGUGAAAGGGGGCUUUUAGCUCUCGCUAAUAGAUGAGCCUAAGUCGGAUUAGCUGGUUGGUGGGGUAAAGGCCUACCAAGGCGACGAUCUGUAGCUGGUCUGAGAGGAUGAUCAGCCACACUGGGACUGAGACACGGCCCAGACUCCUACGGGAGGCAGCAGUGGGGAAUAUUGGACAAUGGGCGAAAGCCUGAUCCAGCCAUGCCGCGUGUGUGAAGAAGGCCUUUUGGUUGUAAAGCACUUUAAGUGGGGAGGAAAAGCUUGUGGUUAAUACCCAUAAGCCCUGACGUUACCCACAGAAUAAGCACCGGCUAACUCUGUG